UACGUAGGAUGCAAGCGUUGUCCGGAUUUACUGGGCGUAAAGCGCGCGCAGGCGGCUCUUUAAGUAUGGCGUGAAAUCUCCCUGCUCAACGGGGAGGGUGCGUUGUAGACUGAGGAGCUUGAGGUCGGUAGAGGGGGGUGGAAUUGCUGGUGUAGCGGUGAAAUGCGUAGAGAUCAGCAGGAACACCCGUGGCGAAGGCGGCCCCCUGGGCCGUACCUGACGCUGAGGCGCGAAAGCGUGGGGAGCGAACAGG
Molecule: ribosomal RNA, 253 nt
Filed under: uncultured bacterium
Lineage: Bacteria
Description: partial 16S ribosomal RNA
Rfam family: Bacterial small subunit ribosomal RNA
Source: RNAcentral